RNAcentral lists this ribosomal RNA (107 nucleotides) under Methanobacteriota archaeon. RNAcentral's name for it is "Euryarchaeota archaeon partial 16S ribosomal RNA". It matches the Rfam family "Archaeal small subunit ribosomal RNA", at positions 1 to 101 of the family's 1478-position model. Lineage: Archaea; Methanobacteriati; Methanobacteriota. The record is from RNAcentral.
CACGGAUCAACUCCGGUUGAUCCUGCCGGCGGGCACCGCUAUGGGAGUUCGCUUAAGACAUGCGAGUCGAGAGGUGCAAGACCUCGGCGGACGGCUCAGUAACACGC